RNAcentral lists this ribosomal RNA (254 nucleotides) under uncultured bacterium. RNAcentral's name for it is "partial 16S ribosomal RNA". It matches the Rfam family "Bacterial small subunit ribosomal RNA", at positions 524 to 776 of the family's 1533-position model. The record is from RNAcentral.
UACGGGGGGAGCAAGCGUUGUUCGGAUUUACUGGGCGUAAAGGGCGCGUAGGCGGCCACCGCAAGUCGACUGUGAAAUCUCCGGGCUUAACCCGGAAAGGUCAGCCGAUACUGCGGGGCUAGAGUGCAGAAGGGGCAACUGGAAUUCUCGGUGUAGCGGUGAAAUGCGUAGAUAUCGGGAGGAACACCGGUGGCGAAGGCGGUUCUCUGGGCCUUACCUGACGCUGAGGAGCGAAAGCGUGGGGAGCGAACAGG